Chiloscyllium plagiosum (whitespotted bambooshark) is the source of this 3799-nucleotide non-coding RNA. Lineage: Eukaryota; Metazoa; Chordata; Chondrichthyes; Orectolobiformes; Hemiscylliidae. The record is from RefSeq and is a predicted model, not a curated record.
UCUUUUAUUCAGAACUCCUCGAAUAGGUCUGCGCACAAGUAGAAUUUACUUUCAAAGAAAACAACGUAGAACUGCAACGCGGGUAUUAUGGCAACGUGAAGGGGACAGAGAGAGUUUAGACCAGUUAUGGAAACGAGAAAGAAAAAAAGAGAGGCACAAGUAAGAUAUAUUAAACAGGUCGAUGAACCGGACAGAUUAGGAAAGAUGGCAGGAAUUUUCUGCACAGGAGGAACUCCCGUGUACUUUAUUUAAUCCAAACAAAAAUGAAAGCGUAGUAUGUUUCUUUUUGUAUUGUCUGAAAAUUCCACUGAUACGAACAGCGGCUUUUUUUUGGGGGGGUUGGUAUAAGGGAUGGGAAAAUGCUCAUAAAACGUCCCUGCAUCCCUGCCUCUCCAAAACAGUGAUGCAAAACUUAUUCCCCCUCUUCCAUUAAUAAGAACACAACCCCACUAUUAACAUCGAAUGGAGUUUCAAUUUUGAAUGAUACUGCCUUAAUUUGUGUUCAAAGUGUAUGUUUUAACUCCCAGGUGGGGGAGGGGGCGAAUGUUUCAGGAUAAUGUUGACUGCAAGAGUCGGAAUAAUCUUAAAUCUCGGAUUCCCAAAGAUAUUUUCUCCUUCUUAACAUCGAAUCAAUGUACAUUUUUCUGGAAUCGGUGUUAUUAUUGCUCCAACCCAACUCACUCCAUUUUCUAACAUUCGGGAAUAAACACUGGAUUGGGAAGAUUUGGGCAGAGUGUGGGGUGUCAGCGUCUAAUGAGGUUUAAAGGAUUCACGACCGCUUAUAUUUUAGUUCUGUUUAGACUGGGACCUCUCAUUGCAUUUUAAGACGUCUCAUUAAACCGAAUAUGUCAGGUGAGGUACCAGGGCUUGAAUGGGGUUUGGUUUUGUAAACAGAGCACCCGUUCAAAACCUAAAGCUCAAGUAUUCUGUGUUAGGAAGAAAAAGGGUUAAUUAGAAAUGCAUAGCCCCCACCUCUGGGGAGGGAGAAGAACAGAAAAGGAAACGGAGAUUGUGGGACCCGGCUCGCCUACCUAAUCAUCUCCUAUCCCAGAACCCCCUCUCUGUUUCUCUACCCCCCGCCCCGUCUUUGUUCAGUGCGGAAUCUGUUCCGCUCAGAUUCUCUCCUGGUUCCAAAAAAUAAUGUGUUCAAGCUUUUACAGCGUGGAAAAAGAAAACGAAAUACCCGAACGGUUGGAGCUUGAUUCCUAUGCACUGAGCCGCUGAGAGACAGUGUAAUCACUAAAGUAGCAGUUUAAACAAAAUACUCUUAAAUGAUGCCUGCUGGACAAGAAGAACUUCGUCUCGUUUGUUUCCGAGUCUGGCUGUAGCUCUCGGUAAGGUCUUCGGCCGUUUCUACUGCGGAUCAACCCGGCUUUGAGGUGGCUGCGCCGUUUGUACUGCACGGAGUGGACAUUCCACGGAUCUCAUGCAAGUUGGCGAGGCGGUUAUAUUACAUUCCUACGACAAGAGGCGUGCGGGCGGACUGUGCCGGACUACGUUAAAUCUCAGGGUAAAUUCAAUCACCGAGACUUUCCGGGGCGAGUUUAUGUUCUCAGCGAGUUAACAUUCAGAUUUUAUUCUCCACCAUUUGGGUCAAAAAGCAUUGCUGAUUUUUUUAUUACACUCGCAGAAACAGGUGCAGACAACAAACGCCAGACGUUUUCGCAAUUUCCUUUCAAAGCUUCAUUCGCCGCGGUGGGUUUUCCAUAUUUAUAACUGCGGAUGUGUCCUGGGGUUUGAUAGAGCGCAUCCUCCUGGGGUAGUGUGUGUGCGCCUGCCCCCUGGGAUCGGUUUAAAGUUCAAAAUCACAUCAAAACAGCUGCGUUUUGGGCCGGGGGUUGAUUAAAAUAUAUAACGCCGUCGUGGCAGUACGCGGACAAUAAAUCAUCAAUAGUGCUUCAUUUCAAAAUGGACUGACUUGUGGGAAUAAAGAAAGCAUUCUGGACACAUGGCGGUCUCAAGCGUGCGACUCAAGCGGUUGUUUGAUUUGUUUGAUUCACGUUUUGAUGGGGCAACAAAGGACAUCGUGGGGAGAGCUGAUAGAAUUAUAGAAUGGCAAAGUAGAGAAAUGGGCCAUUCGGUUGGUCCUGCCAGUGGAAGUGUCUCGCCUUAAACUGUGCUUUUCAUAGCAAUUAGAUUUUGGAAUUUUUAAGGGGACCAAGCGAUGCUUUAGUUCAGGAAAGCCUAUGGCAUAAUAGCUAUGUUCUCAUAUCCUAUCUUUACCUCCCACCUAUCUCUAGCUGCAGCAAGAAUUGGGCACUAACACCGGAAAAUGCUUGCAAAGCAUAUUUACAGCAGAGUUAGCUCAGUUAUAGCACUCCACCCACAUCUGAUAUGUAACCAAAUGCAAUGUGCAACCAGUACUGACAACUGGCUGCACUCCAAAGAUAUAGUUUCAAGUGUUUGACAGUUUAAGCUGUGACAACUAUUACAGCACAACUAGCCGCUGGGUGAUAUACCUGCCUGGCAACAACAACAGUCAUUUACACUGUACCUUUAAAGCAAUAAAACAUCCCAAAACUGCAAGAGUGCUAGCCAAAAAAAUUGGCUAAACCAAAUAAGGAGAUAUCAGGGGAGAUCACCAAAAGCUUGAUCAAAAGAUUUAGACUUUAAGGAGUGUAUUACAAGAGGAAAGAGAUAAAGGGAGAGGUUGAUGGAAGGAAUUUCAAAGCUUCAGACCUCAGCUGCUGAACUCAUAGACCACAAAUUCAAAGAAUUUAACAUUGCAGAUGGCAAAUUGGGCCUUCAUUGCCAUUUUUGUGUCAUUCUGCAGUCAGUGGAAAACAAAAUAGUAGGGUUGAUGACAUACUUGUGGUCUACUAUUCCAGUAGACCUGGGCUAAUUGCACAGAGUUCAGAUCAUGCCACAGCAGUUUCAGAACUUCAUUUCAAUAAUGAAUUAUGAAUCUACUAUCAGUAAAACCGGCUACGAAGACUUCAUAAGAACCUAACUUGUUGACAAAGUUCCUGUUGGGAAGGAAGCUUCAUCUGGUCUGACCUAUAUGUGACUCCCUUCCCAAGCACAAUCUAGUUGCCUCAGAAAUAGUCCAGUAGCCCACUGCCAAAACUGACUGCAUUGAAUGAAGACUGCACUUAUUCCAGGGCAACUAGGGAUGGGCAAUAAAUGCUGGCCUAUCUAGCAAUGCCCUGAAGUAUGUUAUGAACAGGAUUGCUUACAAAAUCAAACAGCUUAAAAAUGAAAUAAAACAAGUCACCUUCAGUUUGCCAGCAUUACACAUGUGAUACAUGGAAUACUCUGCUUCAAUGCAAAGCUAAAUUUAUUUUAAUUUAAAGUGCAGUGGAGUGAGCAUAACAUGAAAGCAUAAACAUAUUUUUAAAAGGCCUUAAUAAGCUCUGACGAAGGAUCCCAAUUGUCUUUUAGUUUACAGAUGCCCACAGACAUUUCCAGCAAUUAUUAUUUCCUUUUAGUUAUUUUCAACCUAUAUAUAACAGGAGAGUUUAAACAGGGACACAUUAGCAUUGAGAACUUUUCUCUACAAUUUCCCAUUCUCCCUUUUUUUUCUGACGGCAUUGACUUAUUCUGAUUUCUGGUUCCAAGAUUCAAGGAUUCUCUGGUACUUCAUCCAAUUGUGUCAUCUUCAUGCUUGAAAUUAUUGAGCAAGUAUCAAUCUUAAAUAUGGAGGCUAUUUGCAAAUGAAAGGGAUCAUGCUCAAUCCUGUUCUCCGCAUUCACCUGUUAUUGGUCAGCUCCGACUGGAUCAUCCUGGUCAUUCUGGUCUCCUUCCUAUCAGAAAGAUGCUGUGAAACUUGAAAGGGUUCAAAAACGAUUUACAAGAAUAU